AGCUUUGCGCAGUGGCAGUAUCGUAUCCAAUGAGGUUUAUCUGAGGUGCAAUUAUUGCUAAUUAAAAUGUUUUAUUUUAAAUAUAUUUUAUAUGUACAUAUGAUAUAUUGUAAAUAUAUGUCCAUUUGAAUCACCCAAA
Non-coding RNA from Canis lupus familiaris (dog), 139 nucleotides. Lineage: Eukaryota; Metazoa; Chordata; Mammalia; Carnivora; Canidae. The record is from Rfam.